GGGCUCAGAUCUAGGCGAGAUAGGUACCUUUGCCAUAAUAGCUAAAGUGGAGUGAUUAUAUAGUGUCCAUCAUCUUGCAACAGGAGGCCAUGGUUUGGGCCAGCACAACAGGCUCCCUUCAACUUAGAGCAUCGACGAUUACAUUUCCUGUCUUGGGUUAAUAAAUGAUCUAGUAAUCAUAAUCCUUCAGAAGAUCCAUCCAGCGUCUUUGUCUCAUAUUUAACUCCC
Molecule: long non-coding RNA, 228 nt
Filed under: Carica papaya (papaya)
Lineage: Eukaryota; Viridiplantae; Streptophyta; Magnoliopsida; Brassicales; Caricaceae
Description: long non-coding RNA (CPAP_LNC009042)
Source: RNAcentral